This 472-nucleotide ribosomal RNA is filed under the name uncultured bacterium. RNAcentral describes it as "bacterial SSU rRNA". It matches the Rfam family "Bacterial small subunit ribosomal RNA", at positions 355 to 825 of the family's 1533-position model. The record is from RNAcentral.
UGGGGAAUAUUGGGCAAUGGGCGAAAGCCUGAUCCAGCCAUGCCGCGUGUGUGAAGAAGGUCUUCGGAUUGUAAAGCACUUUAAGUUGGGAGGAAGGGCAGUUACCUAAUACGUGAUUGUUUUGACGUUACCGACAGAAUAAGCACCGGCUAACUCUGUGCCAGCAGCCGCGGUAAUACAGAGGGUGCAAGCGUUAAUCGGAAUUACUGGGCGUAAAGCGCGCGUAGGUGGUUUGUUAAGUUGGAUGUGAAAUCCCCGGGCUCAACCUGGGAACUGCAUUCAAAACUGACAAGCUAGAGUAUGGUAGAGGGUGGUGGAAUUUCCUGUGUAGCGGUGAAAUGCGUAGAUAUAGGAAGGAACACCAGUGGCGAAGGCGACCACCUGGACUGAUACUGACACUGAGGUGCGAAAGCGUGGGGAGCAAACAGGAUUAGAUACCCCCGUAGUCCCUGAGCGGGCUGGCAAGGCGCAU